Molecule: ribosomal RNA, 546 nt
Filed under: Bipolaris sp. Vic-3
Lineage: Eukaryota; Fungi; Ascomycota; Dothideomycetes; Pleosporales; Pleosporaceae
Description: eukaryotic LSU rRNA
Rfam family: 5.8S ribosomal RNA (bases 182-335)
Source: RNAcentral
CCUGCGGAGGGAUCAUUACACAAUACAAUAUGAAGGCUGUCCGCAGCUGGAGUAUUUUAUUACCCUUGUCUUUUGCGCACUUGUUGUUUCCUGGGCGGGUUCGCUCGCCACCAGGACCACCAAAUAAACCUUUUUUAUGCAGUUGCAAUCAGCGUCAGUACAAACAAUGUAAAUCAUUUACAACUUUCAACAACGGAUCUCUUGGUUCUGGCAUCGAUGAAGAACGCAGCGAAAUGCGAUACGUAGUGUGAAUUGCAGAAUUCAGUGAAUCAUCGAAUCUUUGAACGCACAUUGCGCCCUUUGGUAUUCCAAAGGGCAUGCCUGUUCGAGCGUCAUUUGUACCCUCAAGCUUUGCUUGGUGUUGGGCGUUUUUGUCUUUGGUCGCCCAAAGACUCGCCUUAAAGUGAUUGGCAGCCGGCCUUUCUGGUUUCGCAGCGCAGCACAUUUUUGCGCUUGCCAUCAGCAAAACGGCAAUCCAUCAAGCCUCCUUCUCACGUUUGACCUCGGAUCAGGUAGGGAUACCCGCUGAACUUAAGCAUAUCAAUA